GACGAACGCUGGCGGCGUGCUUAACACAUGCAAGUCGAGCGGUAAGGCCCUUUCGGGGUACGACGAGCGGCGAACGGGUGAGUAACACGUGGGUGACCUGCCUUUAGCUCUGGGAUAAGCCUGGGAAACUGGGUCUAAUACCGGAUAUGACUCCGCGGUGCAUGCUGUGGGGUGAAAGCCUUGUGCGGCUGGAGAUGGGCCCGCGGCCUAUCAGCUUGUUGGUGGGGUGAUGGCCUACCAAGGCGACGACGGGUAGCCGGCCUGAGAGGGCGACCGGCCACACUGGGACUGAGACACGGCCCAGACUCCUACGGGAGGCAGCAGUGGGGAAUCUUGCGCAAUGGGCGAAAGCCUGACGCAGCGACGCCGCGUGAGGGAUGACGGCU
RNAcentral lists this ribosomal RNA (386 nucleotides) under uncultured bacterium. RNAcentral's name for it is "bacterial SSU rRNA". It matches the Rfam family "Bacterial small subunit ribosomal RNA", at positions 28 to 416 of the family's 1533-position model. The record is from RNAcentral.